AUGACAAAUUCUCCGGAAUCUCUGAACAUCUUUUGAUGAUCCUCCUUGAACCCUUUUUGCUGAUGACUCUUGUGUGCAGUUCAUGUUA
Hemibagrus wyckioides is the source of this 88-nucleotide small nucleolar RNA. RefSeq annotates it as small nucleolar RNA MBII-202. The transcript has a single exon. The record is from RefSeq and is a predicted model, not a curated record. Lineage: Eukaryota; Metazoa; Chordata; Actinopteri; Siluriformes; Bagridae.